Long non-coding RNA from Cyprinus carpio carpio, 2050 nucleotides. The record is from Ensembl. Lineage: Eukaryota; Metazoa; Chordata; Actinopteri; Cypriniformes; Cyprinidae.
UUUAAAUGCAAAUAACACCACUAUAGUAAUCAAACUUGUCUUUUAGUACAUAUUAUCAAAAUAAGUGUCUAUCUACAACUGAAAUACACAGAGAAUCCACUCUGAGGAUACAGUAAAGGUCAAAUUGUUCUGUCAUGGCUGGGUGGGUCUUCAAAGUCGGGUGAUUUACUCAUGGGCCCCCGAGGAGCCUCCAGUCCAUCAGCCAGUGGCUCCACUUCCUGUCUGAACACAACCGACCCAGAACAUUCAUCUCAAGCACAGAAGAGCCACUUCACCCAUUCACAGAAGAUCAACUUGACCCUGAGCAGAGGACGCAACCCAAUUGUCUCAUCAGACAAAAGCAGCUUCUGUCGGGCAUACAGCAGUCGAUUGUGUCCGCGGUGCUCAUGUCUAUAGAGACUGUAAGAUCAUAUGUGCUGACAGGGCCACAGUAGGGACCUUUUAACGUCCAUCUCUGUAUUUUCCUCACUGUGUGUUUUACAAAAUGACCAGUCCACUGAAGAUAUGCACAUUAUUGGACCAGAUGACCUCUCCAUGCUGAAAGGGAAGAAUGUCUUGAUUGUGGAGGUGAGAUGGCAAUAGUGGACACAGGAAAGACCAUGAGAGCCCUUCUACAGCACAUGGAGACUUUCCAGCCCAAAUGGUGAAAGCCGAAGGGCUGCUGGUUUAAGAGGGUUCCUCACGGGGCAGUGGAGCUCCCAGACUAUGAUGGUUUUGUUAUUCCUAAUCGUUUCGUGGUGGGUUAUGCUCUGGACUACAAUGAGAGACCUCAAUCACAUCUGUGUCAUCAGUGAGAUGGGGAAACAGAAGCUCCUCUUUCAAGAGGAAUGGACAUUUACAUUACCAUAACAGAUGAAAAACUCGUUUUGCAAGAUUACUGUGAUCUCAAAUCAGAGAUAAAUCUGAUCUCUCAAAUCUGAUAUCUGUAACUGACAUGCCGAAUUAUGUUUGAAAUGUAAUAUAUUUUGCAUGAAUUGGGUAAAGUCACACAUCGCAGUACUAACGUGAUAUGAUGUGGAAAACAGACUUACUGUGUGCCAUUUUAUAUGCUGUAUAAAAGCCAAGCUGUUCAUUUUUGUCCUAUUUAGAAGAUAUUUGUUUGACAGACCAUCCAUGGCACUAUUUCACAUAAAAGAUGUUUACAUGUAGUACAAGAGACAAUAAUAGCUGAAUUUAUAAAAAUGACUCCGUUCAAAAGUUGACAUCUCCUUGAUUCUUAUUAAUGUGUUCUUACCUGAAUGUGAUAGUUGUUCAUAAGUCCCUUGUUUGUCCUGAACAGUUAAACUGCCUGCUGUUCUUCAGAAAAAUCCUUCAGGUCCCGAAAAUUAUUUGGUUUUCCAGCAUUUUUGUGUAUUUGAACCCUUCCAACAAUGACUAUGAUUUUGAGAUCCAUCUUUUCACACUGAGGGACUCAUAUGCAACUAUUACAGAAUGUCCAAAUGCUCAUUGAUGCUCCAGAAGGAAAAACCAUGCAUUAAGAGCUGGGGGGUGAAAACUUUUGAACAGAAUGGAGAUGUGUACAUUUUUCUUAUUAUUUCUUAUUUUGCCAAAAUAUCUAUAAUAUUUUUUUUUGAACCACCUUUUAGAGGCUACAAAAGAUUUAACUCACAACUUACAGAAUUUAAAGGAUCUGCUGCUAAUGGUGCUAGAAACAGGACAAAUUCGGAGGUCUUGUGGAGUCCAUGCCUUGACACAUCAAAGUUGUUUUAGAAGCACGAAAGGAACUUACACAAUAUAAGUGGUUUUAAUGUUGUAGCUGGUCAGUGGAUAAAAUUGAUUAAACCUUAUCUUUGCAAAAAAAGAAGGAAAAAAAAGAAAGAAACAGAGGAGUGUUACAGGUAAUGCUAUUGAAGAAUAUUAAUUAAGAAAACAAUGCCUUAUUUUCUUUGUAACUGAGUACUUAUGUCUUCUACAAAGGACACUAAAAAUCAUGUAUAUCUUAUGUUCAAAACAAUAUGACGACAAACAAAAUAAAUAACACAUGCCUUCAGCUUUUUUGUUGGGUUCCAGAAAGAUGUAUUUGCACACUACAAACUGGCGUUAAAUAAAG